GGGGGUGAUCGGUUUCGACGGUGGUCGACACAUCAGGGGAAGCGGGUCGAGGAUGCAGGGUUAUCUCGUAAACGCUCCUUGCAAACCAAUAGGUGCCAACUCAAAGCGCACCGACUUCGCCCUCGCCGCCUGAGCGAGCUCCGAAGUCCGUCAGCCUGAGCUAGUUUCCGACUCAGUGUCUGGCGUCAGCUAGGAAACUUGCUGCGUGGUCAUGUUGGGGGGCCACGCGGGACUCGUACUCAACUGGGCCUGUCAGGGAACGUGUGCGCGCGAGCCCUGGGGCCGAGAAAAGCCAUAGCGCACUGCACCCGGAGAAGCCCUGGUUUCUCGUCAUCGGACGCGGGUUCAAUUCCCGCCACCUCCACCA
Molecule: transfer-messenger RNA, 367 nt
Filed under: Intrasporangium calvum
Lineage: Bacteria; Bacillati; Actinomycetota; Actinomycetes; Micrococcales; Intrasporangiaceae
Also listed under: 1 other name
Description: Standard tmRNA
Rfam family: transfer-messenger RNA
About the family: Bacterial tmRNA, also known as 10Sa RNA or SsrA, is named for its dual tRNA and mRNA-like properties. Its role is to liberate the mRNA from a stalled ribosome.
Source: RNAcentral